This is a long non-coding RNA of Oncorhynchus keta (chum salmon), 2317 nucleotides long. RefSeq lists it as uncharacterized. The record is from RefSeq and is a predicted model, not a curated record. Lineage: Eukaryota; Metazoa; Chordata; Actinopteri; Salmoniformes; Salmonidae. The transcript is spliced from 3 exons.
GAGAGAGAGAGCGAGAAAGAGAUGGAGACAGAGAGAGAGAGAGAUAGUGAGAAAGAGAGUGCGAAAGAGAGAGAGAGAGAGAGAGAGAGAGAGAGAGAGAGGAGGAAGAGAGAGAGAUAGUGAGAAAGAGAGGGAGACAGAGAGAGAGAGAUAGUGAGAAAGAGAGCGAGAAAGAGAUGGAGAGAGAGAGAGAGAGAUAGUGAGAAAGAGAUGGAGACAGAGAGAGAGAGAGAUAGUGAGAAAGAGAUGGAGAGAGAGAGAGAGCGAGAAAGAGAUGGAGAGAGAGAGAGAGAGAGAGAUAGUGAGAAAGAGAUGGAGACAGAGAGAGAGAGAUAGUGAGGAAGAGAGAGAGAGAGAGAGAGAGAGAGAGAGAGAGAGAGAGAGAGAGAGAGAGAGAGAUGAGGAAGAGAGAGAAAGAGAGAAAGAGAGAAAGAGAAAAAGAGAAGAGCAAUGAUCCUGAGAAAGUGAGAAAGAGAUGGAGACAGAGAGAGUAUUUAGAUGAGUAUUUAGAUGCUCUAUAGAGUCAUUCCGACCUGGAACACGAGGGGUAGUUUCUAUGCCUGGGUUUGCCUUGCUGACGUAUGGUAGUACAGAAAGCUCACAGUGGUACUAAGUGAAACGCUUCAUGUGUUUUUCAAGCCUAUAAUUUAAACAGCAUUCAGUUUUCUCCACGGCUUCUUUUCCUUCUCUAUUUCUCCUCACGGUGGGAUGUUAUAAACUAUUAUCAGGACACCAUGGACUUACAGGAACUCUUGUCUUGGACCAUUCCAACGCAACGAUCACACGGGAGACUUCACCUCUGGAUGUUGUUCCGGGUCGUAUAGGCCAAGACCUCCCAGAGCAAAUAGGAGACUUCAAAUCCACUAGGAUAUAGCCAAUCCUUUGUCCUCGUCAAGGUUUAAAAUCUACUAGGAUAUAGCCAAUCCUUUGUCUUAGUCAUGGUUUAAAAUCCACAAGGAUAUAGCCAAUCCUUUGUCUUAGUCAUGGUUUAGAAUCCACUAGGAUAUAGCCAAUCCUUUGUCUUAGUCAUGGUUUAGAAUCCACUAGGAUAUAGCCAAUCCUUUGUCCUCGUCAAGGUUUAAAAUCCACAAGGAUAUAGCCAAUCCUUUGUCCUCGUCAAGGUUUAAAAUCCACAACGAUAUAGCCAAUCCUUUGUCCUCGUCAAGUUUUAAAAUCCACAAGGAUAUAGCCAAUCCUUUGUCUUAGUCAAGGUUUAGAAUCCACUAGGAUAUAGCCAAUCCUAUGUCUUAGUCAAGGUUUAAAAUCCACUAGGAUAUAGCCAAUCCUUUGUCUUAGUCAAGGUUUAGAAUCCACUAGGAUAUAGCCAAUCCUUUGUCUUAGUCAAGGUUUAGAAUCCACUAGGAUAUAGCCAAUCCUUUGUCCUCGUCAAGGUUUAAAAUCCACAAGGAUAUAGCCAAUCCUUUGUCUUAGUCAAGGUUAAGAAUCCACUAGGAUAUAGCCAAUCCUUUGUCUUAGUCAAGGUUUAGAAUCCACUAGGAUAUAGCCAAUCCUUUGUCUUAGUCAAGGUUUAGAAUCCACUAGGAUAUAGCCAAUCCUUUGUCUUAGUCAAGGUUUAGAAUCCACUAGGAUAUAGCCAAUCCUUUGUCUUAGUCAAGGUUAAGAAUCCACUAGGAUAUAGCCAAUCCUUUGUCUUAGUCAAGGUUUAGAAUCCACUAGGAUAUAGCCAAUCCUUUGUCUUAGUCAAGGUUUAGAAUCCACUAGGAUAUAGCCAAUCCUUUGUCUUAGUCAAGGUUUAGAAUCCACUAGGAUAUAGCCAAUCCUUUGUCUUAGUCAAGGUUAAGAAUCCACUAGGAUAUAGCCAAUCCUUUGUCUUAGUCAAGGUUUACACGUUAUGAAAAGCCCCCAUGCCGUCUCUGGCUUGAUUCUGAUUCUAGUUGAACAUUCUAUAUAGCUAGUGGAGUAUCAGCAUGUGUUCUUGUAUUUGGGGUUAACUCCAGACAGGUUCCAGACCAACAUCAUUGGGAGGCAGGGAUGCAUGUAAUGUCUCUGGAAAUGUCCGUUGUGCUUAAUGCCGAAGCCUAAUGGCAGAUGAAAGGACCCUCCAAAUGUUAAGCCUUGCAGUCCAACAGGUUGACCGUCGUCCCACAAGGAAUUCAUAUAAAGAGAUGUAAUUUGUUUGAUUCAGAUGCUGUAGUCUGUAUCUGCCCAUGAUCCUUAAGUCCUCAUUAGGGACCUCGUUUAGUCUCACUUAACUGUAUUCCUCAUCCCAGUCCCAUGUGUGACCUGACAUAGGCCUGACAUAGGCCUGACAUAGGCAUAGACAAUGAACGCCUGCAUUUAUUCUAUGAUGGUAAAA